UAAGCAGGCCGGGUAGCCGCGGGCAGCUCUUGGCUGCCUGAGGAAAGUCCGGGCUCCACAGGGCAGGGCGCUGGGUAACGCCCAGCAAGGGUGACCUUAGGGAAAGUGCCACAGAAACAUACCGCCACUGUCACGCUCCCCUUGCCUUACCGGAGGCAUGCCCAGCCUCUGGAACUAAGGCGGGGACCGGCGGACAGGGGUAAGGGUGAAAUGGUAGUGUAAGAGACUACCGGCAGUCGGGUGACCGGCUGGCCAGGCAAACCCCGCCCGGAGCAAGGCCAAAUAGAGGGGCGAUGACGUGGCCCGCCGAGCCCCUGGGUAAGGCCGCUUGAGGGAAAGGGUAACCUUUCUCCUAGAUAGAUGGCUACCCUCGACAGAACCCGGCUUACAGGCCUGCUUACCAU
RNAcentral lists this RNase P RNA (404 nucleotides) under Bacillota bacterium. RNAcentral's name for it is "RNase P RNA component class A". It matches the Rfam family "Bacterial RNase P class A". Rfam says of the family: Ribonuclease P (RNase P) is a ubiquitous endoribonuclease, found in archaea, bacteria and eukarya as well as chloroplasts and mitochondria. Its best characterised activity is the generation of mature 5'-ends of tRNAs by cleaving the 5'-leader elements of precursor-tRNAs. Cellular RNase Ps are ribonucleoproteins. The record is from RNAcentral. Lineage: Bacteria; Bacillati; Bacillota. RNAcentral also lists the same sequence under 2 other names.